RNAcentral lists this ribosomal RNA (301 nucleotides) under uncultured bacterium. RNAcentral describes it as "partial 16S ribosomal RNA". It matches the Rfam family "Bacterial small subunit ribosomal RNA", at positions 509 to 807 of the family's 1533-position model. The record is from RNAcentral.
CAGUCGCCGCGGUAAUACGUAGGGUGCGAGCGUUAAUCGGAAUUACUGGGCGUAAAGCGUGCGCAGGCGGUUCGUUAAGACAGAUGUGAAAUCCCCGGGCUUAACCUGGGAACUGCAUUUGUGACUGGCGAGCUAGAGUAUGGCAGAGGGGGGUAGAAUUCCACGUGUAGCAGUGAAAUGCGUAGAGAUGUGGAGGAAUACCGAUGGCGAAGGCAGCCCCCUGGGCCAAUACUGACGCUCAUGCGCGAAAGCGUGGGGAGCAAACAGGAUUAGAUACCCGCGUAGUCCCUGUCUCUUAUAC